Molecule: small nuclear RNA, 104 nt
Organism: Ochotona princeps (American pika)
Lineage: Eukaryota; Metazoa; Chordata; Mammalia; Lagomorpha; Ochotonidae
Source: Ensembl
GUGCUUGCUUCGGCAGCACAUAUACUAAAAUUGGAAUGAUACAUAGAAGAUUUCCAUGGCCCCUGCGCAAGAAACAAUAUGGGAAUUAAUUACUACUGGUUUGU